UACGGGGGGGGCUAGCGUUGCUCGGAAUCACUGGGCGUAAAGGGGGCGUAGGCGGGGCUUUAAGUCAGGGGUGAAAUCCUGGAGCUCAACUCCAGAACUGCCUUUGAUACUGAGGAUCUUGAGUUCGGGAGAGGUGAGUGGAACUGCGAGUGUAGAGGUGAAAUUCGUAGAUAUUCGCAAGAACACCAGUGGCGAAGGCGGCUCACUGGCCCGAUACUGACGCUGAGGCACGAAAGCGUGGGGAGCAAACAGG
This 253-nucleotide ribosomal RNA is filed under the name uncultured bacterium. Its description in RNAcentral is "partial 16S ribosomal RNA". It matches the Rfam family "Bacterial small subunit ribosomal RNA", at positions 524 to 776 of the family's 1533-position model. The record is from RNAcentral.